RNAcentral lists this ribosomal RNA (260 nucleotides) under Isochrysis galbana. RNAcentral describes it as "partial Bacterial large subunit ribosomal RNA". It matches the Rfam family "Bacterial large subunit ribosomal RNA", at positions 110 to 360 of the family's 2925-position model. The record is from RNAcentral. Lineage: Eukaryota; Haptophyta; Isochrysidales; Isochrysidaceae.
AUUUCUGAAUGGGGGAACCCCAUCGAGCAACACUCGAUGACCUUGUACUUGAUGCAAGGAGCACACCCGGGGAAUUGAAACAUCUUAGUACCCGGAGGAAUAGAAACCAAUAGGUAUUUCCUGAGUAGCGGCGAGCGAAACGGAAGAAGCCCAAACCUUACUGCUUGCAGUAGGGGGUUGUAAGGCGUUAGUGCUGCAUUUAUGUAGGAAGAGUUACAAAAUAUGUUGUUAAAAGAACAACCUGGGAAGGUUGACCCUAG